CCUGGCCUCACGCAUGCCAGACAAUUGCUCUACCACUAAGUCACAUCCCAGCUCUACACAGGAUUCUUAUUUAUUUUUGGUACCAGGGAUUGAACCCAGGGGCUCUUAACCACUGAGCCACAUCCUCAGCCCUAUUUUGUAUUUUAUUUAGAGACAGGGUCUCACUGAGUUGCUUAGGGCCUCACUUUUGCUGAGGCUGGCUUUGAACUUACGAUCUUCCUGCCUCAGCCUCUGGAGCCACUGGGAUUACAGGCCUGCACCAUUGUGCCUGGCCCAUACUUUCUUAACUAAGAUCAAUUGUAUAUUAUUCCUAGUAGAAUCAGGCCCCAAGCAAUUUUUAUUCCAUGCAGAAUCUCGAAUAUUCUAUAAACCUGGAAUAUUACACCAGUAAGAUGGGAAAGAUUAGGUUCUCUCUUUCAAUGUCACUGGAACAAUCUGCCAUGAGUCUGCCUUUCCUGCCUCUCACACAAGUCUUGACACUGUGAUUUAUGUUCCUGAACAAAUUAGACUUAAUUUAAGAGCAAAUCAUCAGCAACAGGUAUAAUAAUCUUGGCAGAACAUUUAUUUUAAUUAAUUGCUUUCUGCCUAACAUAGAUAGAGGGAUGCUGAUACCAUUUACCCUAUAAGGAUUAGUGCUGUCAUGUAAUUAAUUUUUUUUCUUCCCCUAGAACUUAAAGUCUCAUCAGUUUUAAAUUACAAAGGCAUCGGUUUACUUCAUAUUUAAUCAUAACAAUCUAACUUCUAUGGCAAUGUUUAUAUAAGAUACUUGUGAAAGAAAAAUGGAUUCUAACUACCCUGCAGCAUGACUAAUCCCUGUUUCUGUACACAGUCCCUGUUGGGUUCCAGAAAAACUUUCAUUCCCAUAAACCCGAUACAGGGUUAGGGGUGGAGAACACUUGAUUGAUUUUUAGAACAAUGUAGACUUUUCUAUUAUUUAUAUUUUAAUGAGAGGCAAAAAGAAAAAGUUCCCUCCACUGUAGAGUUUUAGCAAGUCAUUCUCUAAAGCAGCCCACAAUAAAUGAUAGGAAAUAACUAAAUAGGCCCAUUUUGUCAAACUUGCCAAACUCAACGUUAUUUAGACAUGAUCUAGUAUUUCCACAGAAGAGACAGAAAUAGCCAGUACUAACACAAGGAGAGUUCACAGGGGAAGGACUGCAACACUCACAAAAUAAGUUGGCUACAUAAAUGUAAAUUUAGCCAGGAACAGUGGCACACACCUGUAAUCCCUGCGGCUCUGGAGGCUGAGGCAGGAGAAGCGCAAGC
RNAcentral lists this long non-coding RNA (1263 nucleotides) under Marmota monax (woodchuck). Lineage: Eukaryota; Metazoa; Chordata; Mammalia; Rodentia; Sciuridae. The record is from RNAcentral.